CGCUGGCGGCAUGCCUUACACAUGCAAGUCGAACGGUAACGCGGGGCAACCUGGCGACGAGUGGCGAACGGGUGAGUAAUGCAUCGGAACGUGCCCAGUAGUGGGGGAUAGCCCGGCGAAAGCCGGAUUAAUACCGCAUACGACCUACGGGUGAAAGGGGGGGAUCGCAAGACCUCUCGCUAUUGGAGCGGCCGAUGUCAGAUUAGGUAGUUGGUGGGGUAAAAGCCUACCAAGCCGACGAUCUGUAGCUGGUCUGAGAGGACGACCAGCCACACUGGGACUGAGACACGGCCCAGACUCCUACGGGAGGCAGCAGUGGGGAAUUUUGGACAAUGGGCGCAAGCCUGAUCCAGCCAUGCCGCGUGCGGGAAGAAGGCCUUCGGGUUGUAAACCGCUUUUGUCAGGGAAGAAAUCUUCUGAGUUAAUACCUCGGGAGGAUGACGGUACCUGAAGAAUAAGCACCGGCU
This 467-nucleotide ribosomal RNA is filed under the name uncultured bacterium. RNAcentral describes it as "bacterial SSU rRNA". It matches the Rfam family "Bacterial small subunit ribosomal RNA", at positions 34 to 498 of the family's 1533-position model. The record is from RNAcentral.